RNAcentral lists this ribosomal RNA (440 nucleotides) under uncultured bacterium. RNAcentral describes it as "partial 16S ribosomal RNA". It matches the Rfam family "Bacterial small subunit ribosomal RNA", at positions 338 to 795 of the family's 1533-position model. The record is from RNAcentral.
CCUACGGGUGGCAGCAGUGGGGAAUAUUGCGCAAUGGGGGAAACCCUGAUGCAGCGACGCCGCGUGAGUGAAGAAGUAUCUCGGUACGUAAAGCUCUAUCAGCAGGGAAGAAAAUGACGGUACCUGACUAAGUAGCCUCCGCUAACUACGUGACCGCAGCCGCGGUAAUAAGUAGGGGGCAAGCCUUAUCCGGGUUUACUGGGGUGAAAGGGAGCGUUGACGGCAGCACAAGUUUGGAGUGAAAUCCCGGGGCUUAACCACGGAACUGCUUUGGAAACUGUGCGGCUGGAGUGCAGGAGGGGUAAGCGGAAUUCCUAGUGUAGCGGUGAAAUGCGUAGAUAUUAGGAGGAACACCGGUGGCGAAGGCGGCUUACUGGACUGUAACUGACGUUGAGGCUCGAAAGCGUGGGGAGCAAACAGGAUUAGAUACCCUAGUAGUC